AUACGGAGGGUGCAAGCGUUAUUCGGAAUCACUGGGCGUAAAGGACGCGUAGGCGGGUUGGCAAGUCAGAUGUGAAAUCCUACAGCUUAACUGUAGAACUGCAUUUGAAACUGCUAACCUAGAGUAUGGGAGGGGGAGAUGAAAUUAGUGGUGUAGGGGUAAAAUCCGUAGAUAUCACUAGGAAUACCGAAAGCGAAGGCGAUCUCCUGGAACAUAACUGACGCUAAGGCGUGAAAGCGUGGGGAGCAAACAGGAUUAGAAACCCUUGUAGUCC
Molecule: ribosomal RNA, 274 nt
Filed under: uncultured bacterium
Lineage: Bacteria
Description: partial 16S ribosomal RNA
Rfam family: Bacterial small subunit ribosomal RNA
Source: RNAcentral